This 491-nucleotide ribosomal RNA is filed under the name uncultured bacterium. Its description in RNAcentral is "partial 16S ribosomal RNA". It matches the Rfam family "Bacterial small subunit ribosomal RNA", at positions 29 to 506 of the family's 1533-position model. The record is from RNAcentral.
AGUGAACGCUGGCGGUAGGCCUAACACAUGCAAGUCGAACGGCAGCACAGUAAGAGCUUGCUCUUACGGGUGGCGAGUGGCGGACGGGUGAGGAAUACAUCGGAAUCUACUUUUUCGUGGGGGAUAACGUAGGGAAACUUACGCUAAUACCGCAUACGACCUACGGGUGAAAGCAGGGGAUCUUCGGACCUUGCGCGAUUGAAUGAGCCGAUGUCGGAUUAGCUAGUUGGCGGGGUAAAGGCCCACCAAGGCGACGAUCCGUAGCUGGUCUGAGAGGAUGAGCAGCCACACUGGAACUGAGACACGGUCCAGACUCCUACGGGAGGCAGCAGUGGGGAAUAUUGGACAAGGGGCGCAAGCCUGAUCCAGCCAUACCGCGUGGGUGAAGAAGGCCUUCGGGUUGUAAAGCCCUUUUGUUGGGAAAGAAAAGCAGCAGGUUAAUACCCCGCUGUUCUGACGGUACCCAAAGAAUAAGCACCGGCUAACUUCGU